This 305-nucleotide ribosomal RNA is filed under the name uncultured bacterium. RNAcentral describes it as "bacterial SSU rRNA". It matches the Rfam family "Bacterial small subunit ribosomal RNA", at positions 331 to 655 of the family's 1533-position model. The record is from RNAcentral.
CGGUACCUACGGGACGCAGCAGUGGGGGAUAUUGCACAAUGGGGGGAACCCUGAUGCAGCGACGCCGCGUGGGUGAAGGAGCGUUUCGGCGCGUAAAGCCCUAUCGGCAGGGAAGAAGAUGACGGUACCUGACCAAGAAGCCCCGGCUAACUACGUGCCAGCAGCCGCGGUGAUACGUAGGGGGCAAGCGUUAUCCGGAUUUACUGGGUGUAAAGGGAGCGUAGACGGUUAUGUAAGUCUGGAGUGAAAGCCCCGGGCCCAACCCCGGGCCUGCUUUGCAAACUGUGUAACUGGAGGACAGGGGG